CCUACGGGUCGCAGCAGUGGGGAAUAUUGGACAAUGGGCGAAAGCCUGAUCCAGCCAUGCCGCGUGUGUGAAGAAGGCCUUCGGGUUGUAAAGCACUUUCAGUGGGGAAGAAAGCCUUGGGGCUAAUACCCUCGAGGAAGGACAUCACCCACAGAAGAAGCACCGGCUAACUCCGUGCCAGCAGCCGCGGUACUACGGAGGGUGCGAGCGUUAAUCGGAAUUACUGGGCGUAAAGCGCGCGUAGGCGGUCUGAUAAGCCGGUUGUGAAAGCCCCGGGCUCAACCUGGGAACGGCAUCCGGAACUGUUAGGCUAGAGUGCAGGAGAGGAAGGUAGAAUUCCCGGUGUAGCGGUGAAAUGCGUAGAGAUCGGGAGGAAUACCAGUGGCGAAGGCGGCCUUCUGGACUGACACUGACGCUGAGGUGCGAAAGCGUGGGUAGCAAACAGGAUUAGAUACCCCAGUAGUC
Molecule: ribosomal RNA, 465 nt
Filed under: Vreelandella stevensii
Lineage: Bacteria; Pseudomonadati; Pseudomonadota; Gammaproteobacteria; Oceanospirillales; Halomonadaceae
Description: partial 16S ribosomal RNA
Rfam family: Bacterial small subunit ribosomal RNA
Source: RNAcentral